UACGAAGGACCCAAGCGUUAUCCGGAUUUAUUGGGCUUAAAGGGUGCGUAGGCGGGUUAUUAAGUCAGUGGUGAAAGCCUUCAGCUUAACUGAAGAAUUGCCAUUGAUACUGAUGAUCUUGAGUAUGAUUGAGGUGGGCGGAAUGUGUCAUGUAGCGGUGAAAUGCUUAGAUAUGACACAGAACACCGAUUGCGAAGGCAGCUCACUAAGCCAUAACUGACGCUGAUGCACGAAAGCGUGGGGAGCAAACAGG
Molecule: ribosomal RNA, 253 nt
Filed under: uncultured bacterium
Lineage: Bacteria
Description: partial 16S ribosomal RNA
Rfam family: Bacterial small subunit ribosomal RNA
Source: RNAcentral